GCCCAUAUAGCUCAGUUGGUAGAGCAAUUCCAUGGUAAGGAAGAGGUCGCAAGUUCAAUUCUUGCUAUGGGCACCA
Molecule: transfer RNA, 76 nt
Filed under: Candidatus Pelagibacter sp.
Lineage: Bacteria; Pseudomonadati; Pseudomonadota; Alphaproteobacteria; Candidatus Pelagibacterales; Candidatus Pelagibacteraceae
Description: tRNA-Thr
Rfam family: tRNA
About the family: Transfer RNA (tRNA) molecules are approximately 80 nucleotides in length. Their secondary structure includes four short double-helical elements and three loops (D, anti-codon, and T loops).
Source: RNAcentral